UACAGAGGGUGCGAGCGUUAAUCGGAAUUACUGGGCGUAAAGGGCGCGUAGGUGGUUAAUUAAGUCAGAUGUGAAAUCCCCGGGCUUAACCUGGGAAUGGCAUAUGAAACUGAUUAGCUAGAGUUUGGGAGAGGGAAGUGGAAUUUCAGGUGUAGCGGUGAAAUGCGUAGAUAUCUGAAGGAACACCAGUGGCGAAGGCGACUUCCUGGCCCGAUACUGACACUGAGGCGCGAAAGCGUGGGGAGCAAACAGG
This 253-nucleotide ribosomal RNA is filed under the name uncultured bacterium. RNAcentral's name for it is "partial 16S ribosomal RNA". It matches the Rfam family "Bacterial small subunit ribosomal RNA", at positions 524 to 776 of the family's 1533-position model. The record is from RNAcentral. RNAcentral also lists the same sequence under 1 other name.